Non-coding RNA from Mycena galericulata, 81 nucleotides. The record is from the annotation of a GenBank genome assembly. Lineage: Eukaryota; Fungi; Basidiomycota; Agaricomycetes; Agaricales; Mycenaceae.
GGCCGUGUGGCAAAAUGGUUACUGCGUUGCUUUCCGACUUGCGUUAGGCAGAGACUGUGGGUUCGAGUCCCACCAUGGUCG